AUUGAACGCUGGCGGCAUGCUUUACACAUGCAAGUCGAACGGCAGCAUAGGUGCUUGCACCUGAUGGCGAGUGGCGAACGGGUGAGUAAUAUAUCGGAACAUGUCCGGAAGUGGGGGAUAACGUAGCGAAAGUUACGCUAAUACCGCAUAUGCCCUGAGGGGGAAAGGGGGGGAUCGCAAGACCUCUCGCUUUCGGAGUGGCCGAUAUCGGAUUAGCUAGUAGGUGAGGUAAAGGCUCACCUAGGCGACGAUCCGUAGCUGGUCUGAGAGGACGACCAGCCACACUGGGACUGAGACACGGCCCAGACUCCUACGGGAGGCAGCAGUGGGGAAUUUUGGACAAUGGGCGCAAGCCUGAUCCAGCCAUGCCGCGUGAGUGAAGAAGGCCUUCGGGUUGUAAAGCUCUUUCAGCCGGAAAGAAAUCGUACUUAUUAAUACUAAGUGCGGAUGACGGUACCGGAAGAAGAAGCACCGGCUAACUACGUGCCAGCCGCCGCCGUAA
RNAcentral lists this ribosomal RNA (502 nucleotides) under uncultured bacterium. RNAcentral's name for it is "partial 16S ribosomal RNA". It matches the Rfam family "Bacterial small subunit ribosomal RNA", at positions 30 to 523 of the family's 1533-position model. The record is from RNAcentral.